RNAcentral lists this ribosomal RNA (508 nucleotides) under uncultured bacterium. Its description in RNAcentral is "partial 16S ribosomal RNA". It matches the Rfam family "Bacterial small subunit ribosomal RNA", at positions 28 to 523 of the family's 1533-position model. The record is from RNAcentral.
GAUGAACGCUAGCUACAGGCUUAACACAUGCAAGUCGAGGGGAAACGACAUCGAAAGCUUGCUUUUGAUGGGCGUCGACCGGCGCACGGGUGAGUAACGCGUAUCCAACCUGCCCACCACUUGGGGAUAACCUUGCGAAAGUAAGACUAAUACCCAAUGAUGUCUCUAGAAGACAUCUGAAAGAGAUUAAAGAUUUAUCGGCGAUGGAUGGGGAUGCGUCUGAUUAGCUUGUUGGCGGGGUAACGGCCCACCAAGGCGACGAUCAGUAGGGGUUCUGAGAGGAAGGUCCCCCACAUUGGAACUGAGACACGGUCCAAACUCCUACGGGAGGCAGCAGUGAGGAAUAUUGGUCAAUGGGCGAGAGCCUGAACCAGCCAAGUAGCGUGCAGGAUGACGGCCCUAUGGGUUGUAAACUGCUUUUAUAAGGGAAUAAAGUGAGUCUCGUGAGACUUUUUGCAUGUACCUUAUGAAUAAGGACCGGCUAAUUCCGUGCCAGCCGCCGCAGUAA